RNAcentral lists this long non-coding RNA (745 nucleotides) under Marmota monax (woodchuck). The record is from RNAcentral. Lineage: Eukaryota; Metazoa; Chordata; Mammalia; Rodentia; Sciuridae.
AAUACUUUAAGUACAUUCGAUAGUCAAACUUUGCAAAUAUCCCUAAUUAAGUUUUUUAAGAAAUCACUAUAUGUGAAAAUUUUAGUACAAGAAUUAACACAAAAUAUAUCUAAGACUUAAAUGUAAGACCUGGGAUUGUAAAAUUACUAGAAGGAGCACAGGAGAAAAGCUACAUAAAAUGAAAUAAAACUAGACAAGUAAGACUGCAUGAAAUUACAGAUCUUCUGCAAAGCAAAAGAAACAACAGUGAGAGAUGAACCACAGAUCUAGAGAAAAUAUUUGCAAGAUAUAUUUCAUAAAAGGCUUAUAUUCAGAAUAUGUAAGGAAUUCAAAAUACUCAAUAGUAAGACAACCCUAUUUUAUUUUUUUAAUAUUUAUUUAUUUAGGUGUAGAUGGACACAAUACAAUGCCUUUAUUUUUAUGUGGUGCUGAGGAUCAAACCUGGGUCCCUCCAGUACUAGGGGAGAGCUCUACAGCUGAGACACAAUCCCAGCCCCAAUAACCCUAUUUUUGAAAAAAAUGGGUAAAAGACUUGAAUAGACUUUUUCCAAAAGAAGACUUACAAAUGACCAAUGGAUACAUGAAAAAAUUCUCAACAUCACUAAUCAUCAUAGAAAUGCAAAUUUAAGCCAAAAUGAGGAAUCAUCUCAUACCUGCUUGACUGAUAUUAUCAAAAAGAUGAAAGAACCAGGGGCAGGGGCUUUGCCUGUAAUCUCAGAGUUUUGGAGAUUGUGGCAGAAGGCUG